CUAGCCCAUCUCUGAACCAUCCUGAACUUUGCUCCCACUUACUCCUAAAUAUUGUAGGAAUGUGCUUCCUUUCAAGUUCCAGCAGCUUUUUCCGGAAGCAGAACUCGAAAGUGGACCCAGUUCCAGGAUCCCAUCCAGGAUGCCACACAGUUGUUACAUCUCUUUAGACUCCUCCUGACUGUGAUAAUUUCUCAGACUUUCCUUGUUUCUUGAUGACCUGGACGGUGCUGGUCAGGGUCCUUUCCCCAUCUGUCAUGCUGACUGAAGACAAGUUGCCAAGUUACGACCUGACCUGACAGCUCGAGAAAAGGAGUGCUGGGAGCGAUGGCAGGGAUCAGCUCCAUCUGACCC
Molecule: long non-coding RNA, 351 nt
Organism: Budorcas taxicolor (takin)
Lineage: Eukaryota; Metazoa; Chordata; Mammalia; Artiodactyla; Bovidae
Exons: 3
Source: RefSeq, a predicted model, not a curated record